UCUUGUUAAUAUUAAAAAAAUAAGUGGGGGAUUGAUGGGGCAUUUUUUAAUACAUAAUAUUUUAUUUUAAUAUAUUAUCCUAAAAGCUUCCUACACUAUCUUAUCUUUAGCUUUUUCACUUUAAUAAAGAUGCAUAAAGUAUUAUCUAUGAUAGGAAUGACUUUAACAUCCACAAAGUCUUGUCUAGUGCAUUCAAUGAUUUCAUUACAUUCAUUGUGUAAGCAUUUCUUCUAUAUAAAAGAAGAAUGCAUGCACGGCAAGAGUAGAAAACAGAGAAGCAAAAAACUUGUGUGCUUCCAAUAACAUAGUUAUUAAAAAGAGAGUUUAUUAGUUAAGGGAGGUGUUAUUUUUUUGGAGCUUUGAACUCAACUCUUAUCCAGAUUUGUUUGAGUUAUUGAGAUUAGGCUAUUGUAGCCUGGAGUAGAUAAGUCAAAGAGUAUUUAGACCGGAGAAAUAAUUGUCGUAGUGGGCUUGAAUCUCCUUAAAGAGAGCGAGAUUUCUACGCCUCAGUCGUUGAAGAAGAAAUAUUUUUUUUUAACUCAUUUGUAGUUUUCAGUUGUAAUCAGUUGUAAUAUUUAUUGCAAUUUUAUUGUAAUUUCACCAAUAAUUUAUAUGGUAGAGUAUUAGUUAUUUAAUUACUUUGUCUUUGUUUUCAAUUAUUUUAUGUGAAAUAGUGAUUGAUUAUGUACAUAAAGUGAUUUAUUUUUGAAGUGUUGUCGUGAGUUACUAAUUCUUUGACAGAGAAGUUCAACGAAGAAAUGAAGUUGUACAACAUAAAAUAAUUUACUUUUUAGAGUUUCCGGUAAUAAAGUGGUUUUUUUUACUUUUCUAUUUUCUUAAUUGUUAGAGUAACAUCGCAUUUAAGUCCUUCAAGAUGUCAAUGCUCUCUCAUUAUUUCAGCAAAUUAAAUUAAUUCACUAUAAACAAUUUACUGGUAGUUACUAUUUGCUUAUAUAUCGAGUAAAUUCCUCGAAUUGUCACUGAACUUAUAGAAGUAUCCCACCAAAGUAACUUUUGAAUUUUUUCGGACUAUAUUGUCACUCAACUUGUAGAAACAUCUCACUAAAGUAACUUUUUAAUUUUUUUUUGGAUAAUAUUGUCACUUAACUACACAUAUAUUUCCAACAGGAUGAAAACUAACGAAAAAUUUAAAUUUUUAAUGAAAUUUUAUUCCUCUUUUUUUUUUGGUAAAUUUUAGGGGUUGAGAAUCACCCCAGGCUUUAUUAUUAAUCAUAAAAGAAUUUAUACAAUGAGGGAGGCAUAAACCUGACUUCAAGAUUGGCAACAACUGUGAAUGAAUGAAACUAGUACAACUGUGAGAUUAUACUAUUUGAUUAUAUCUAUCAAGACAUAAAUUCACUAAGGUGGUUCCUGAAGUUUAUUUAGUUUCCUCCUUCUGAAACUUGGUAGUCCAUUUUUAUCAAGUUUGAAGUAUCCUGUUGCUUCUGAAGGAAGUUAAUUUAUAUUUUUAGAUCAAAUAACUAUCAAUUAUAAAAAAUUUAUUGAAUUCAUAUUAAAUGUGACAUUAAUUAAAAUAAAUUAUAUUUAUAUAAUUUGAGUAAAAUAAUGGUGCAAUCUUUUGUUAAAAAGUGAUACACGUAUCUUUUAUUUUUAAUGAAAGUUUAUAUAUUUAUCAUUUUAAUUUUCUUUUUAUUUA
This 1657-nucleotide long non-coding RNA is filed under the name Capsicum annuum. RNAcentral describes it as "long non-coding RNA (CANN_LNC020496)". Lineage: Eukaryota; Viridiplantae; Streptophyta; Magnoliopsida; Solanales; Solanaceae. The record is from RNAcentral.